RNAcentral lists this ribosomal RNA (253 nucleotides) under uncultured bacterium. RNAcentral describes it as "partial 16S ribosomal RNA". It matches the Rfam family "Bacterial small subunit ribosomal RNA", at positions 524 to 776 of the family's 1533-position model. The record is from RNAcentral.
UACGUAGGGUGCGAGCGUUACUCGGAAUCACUGGGCUUACAGGGUGCGUAGGCGGCUCAACAAGUCAGGUGUGAAAGCCCCCGGCUCAACCGGGGAACUGCGCUUGAAACUGUUAGGCUCGAGUCAGCUAGAGGUACACGGAACUUCCAGUGGAGCGGUGAAAUGUGUUGAUAUUGGAAGGAACACCGGAGGCGAAAGCGGUGUACUGGGGCUGGUCUGACGCUGAGGCACGAAAGCCAGGGGAGCGAACGGG